RNAcentral lists this ribosomal RNA (447 nucleotides) under uncultured bacterium. RNAcentral's name for it is "partial 16S ribosomal RNA". It matches the Rfam family "Bacterial small subunit ribosomal RNA", at positions 29 to 523 of the family's 1533-position model. The record is from RNAcentral.
AACGAACGCUGGCGGCAGGCUUAACACAUGCAAGUCGAACGCCCCGCAAGGGGAGUGGCAGACGGGUGAGUAACGCGUGGGCAUCUACCCAUCUCUGCGGAAUAGCUCUGGGAAACUGGAAUUAAUACCGCAUACGCCCCACGGGGGCAAGAUUUAUCGGGGAUGGAUGAGCCCGCGUUGGUACAGCAAGUUGGUGGGGUAAAGGCCUACCAAGGCGACGAUCCAUAGCUGGUCUGAGAGGAGGAACAGCCACAUUGGGCCUGAGACACGGCCCAAACUCCUACGGGAGGCAGCAGGGGGGAAUAUUGGACAAUGGGCGCAAGCCUGAUCCAGCCAUGCCGCGUGAGUGAUGAAGGCCUUGGGGUUGUAAAGCUCUUUCACCGAUGAAGAUAAUGACGGUAGUCGGAGAAGAAGCCCCGGCUAACUUCGUGCCAGCCGCCGCAGUAA